AUUGAACGCUGGCGGCAUGCCUUACACAUGCAAGUCGAACGGUAACGGGCCUUCGGGUGCCGACGAGUGGCGAACGGGUGAGUAAUACAUCGGAACGUGCCCGAUCGUGGGGGAUAACGAGGCGAAAGCUUUGCUAAUACCGCAUACGAUCUACGGAUGAAAGCAGGGGACCGCAAGGCCUUGCGCGGACGGAGCGGCCGAUGGCAGAUUAGGUAGUUGGUGGGAUAAAAGCUUACCAAGCCGACGAUCUGUAGCUGGUCUGAGAGGAUGAUCAGCCACACUGGGACUGAGACACGGCCCAGACUCCUACGGGAGGCAGCCGUGGGGAAUUUGGGACAAUGGGCGCAAGCCUGAUCCAGCCAUGCCGCGUGCAGGAUGAAGGCCUUCGGGUUGUAAACUGCUUUUGUACGGAACGAAAAGCCUUCUUUUAAUACAGGAGGGUCAUGACGGUACCGUAAGAAUAAGCACCGGCGAACUACGU
This 481-nucleotide ribosomal RNA is filed under the name uncultured bacterium. Its description in RNAcentral is "partial 16S ribosomal RNA". It matches the Rfam family "Bacterial small subunit ribosomal RNA", at positions 30 to 506 of the family's 1533-position model. The record is from RNAcentral.